UGAGUUUUUUUCUCUCCCUCUCGUUUUUUUUUUUUUCCCAGGCUCUCGCGGGUUUCCCCUGCCAGGGAAUCCACUCGCUGUAGUUUUCUAGGGCUCUGGUCCCAGUCCUUUCUGAAGCGCGCUUGCAGGCUGUCUUCCUCAGUCGCCCUCUCCCUGGGUGCUGUUUUGCUGGGCAGCAUCCCAUGCUAGGCUCGGCAGACAUUCUGGCGGUUGGGUUCGGCCCUUACAGCGCUAACACCUGCAGAGUCGAGGCUCCUGCCAAAAGGCAGAAAGCAAAGGAGGAAAAAAUUCAUUGUCAUAAUAGCGAAAAUGAUAAACCUCAGCUGUUUAAGAGAAGAAUGUCUGAGUAGCUGUUGAUUAUCUCCCAUAAUCACAAAACAACUUUUUUUUAAAAAGAAUUUGCACUGUCUGUUAAAACGCGGUCAUUGUUUUGCUUUCAAAUCGAACUUCACGACAGUUAGCAACUUCAAGAACGCUUCCAAAUGGAUAAAUCUUUCCAGAAGAUUUCUUGCUUCAAAACAGCUGCAUUUUUGGAAGAAAGUCCACAACUGACAACUAAGCAAAACCCUCCUGGUGGAUAGCAUAAAUCUGCUUUGUUGAAGCUGCUCAUUUGUCUGAUCUAUGAGUCCAGAAGAUGCAAACUCCCUUCCCAGCUUAUGCAAAAAUACUUCCAGUAAAAACAAGCCCUUUGGCCCUUUUCUUUUGUCA
RNAcentral lists this long non-coding RNA (708 nucleotides) under Homo sapiens (human). RNAcentral's name for it is "HSALNT0332959". Lineage: Eukaryota; Metazoa; Chordata; Mammalia; Primates; Hominidae. The record is from RNAcentral.